UACGUAGGUGGCAAGCGUUGUCCGGAUUUAUUGGGUUUAAAGGGUGCGUAGGCGGACUAUUAAGUCAGUGGUGAAAGCCCCCAGCCUAACUGGGGAACUGCCAUUGAUACUGAUGGUCUUGAGUACAUUUGAGGUGGGCGGAAUGUGUCAUGUAGCGGUGAAAUGCUUAGAUAUGACACAGAACACCGAUUGCGAAGGCAGCUCACUAAACUGUAACUGACGCUGAGGCACGAAAGCGUGGGGAGCAAACAGG
Molecule: ribosomal RNA, 253 nt
Filed under: uncultured bacterium
Lineage: Bacteria
Description: partial 16S ribosomal RNA
Rfam family: Bacterial small subunit ribosomal RNA
Source: RNAcentral